Molecule: ribosomal RNA, 935 nt
Filed under: Allogromiina sp. 1124
Lineage: Eukaryota; Foraminifera; Allogromiidae
Description: bacterial SSU rRNA
Rfam family: Eukaryotic small subunit ribosomal RNA
Source: RNAcentral
AAGGGCACCACAAGAACGCGUGGAGCAUGUGGCUUAAUUUGACUCAACACGGGAAAUCUUACCGGGUCCGGACACACUGAGGAUUGACAGGUAACUGUAGUGUUAUUAAUAAUUUAUUAUUUUAAUGCUCUUCAAAUAUGCUAGUCCUUUCAUGAUUGUGUGAUAGGUGGUGCAUGGCCGUUCUUAGUUCGUGGAGCAAUCUGUCUGCUUAAUUGCGCCAUUAAUAGUGGAACGUACCCGUUUGCGCAACGUUAUGCUAUAUUUUGUUAUUUUUUAUUGGUUAAUCCCUUUAUUAAAUGCUUAAUAUUAGCUAAUGUUUACCGCUGGGUUCAGUGUCCCCUGGCAACGAACGUGACCCCAACCUUUAGUUGCUCUGAUUUACAUGUUAAAUUUUAGAUGAAAUAUUCUUUAAUUUAGUGGAGCAAACUAAAGGGACCGAUGGCAAUUAGUAACCCAUAGGAAGGUUGGGGCAAUAACAGGUCUGUGAUGCCCUUAGAUGUCCCGGGCUGCACACGUGCUACAAUGAUCUAUGCAGUAAGCAUGUAACAAAGACUCUGUCAUUUUUCAUUUUAGUUUAUUCUAGAAUGUUAAUGCGGAGCAAGCCUGCUUCGAAAGUAAGUAGGCAAUCAAUUCUAAGUAUAGAUUUCCUUUGAUACUAGGUUCAUAAGCUUGCUUUUGAACUGUAUUUUACUUAAUUCAUGGUGGGGACAGACCCUUGUUAAUUGUUGGUCUCGUCUUAACUAGGAAUGCCUUGUACGGGUCUUUGGUUCAACAAACCACCCGGAAUAUGUCCCUGCCCUUUGUACACACCGCCCGUCGCUCUUACCGAUGGACAUCUCUGUGAGUCUGAGGGACUUGCUUCCCGCAGGAAACUUAGACGAACAGGGUGGUCUAAAGGAAAGAGAAGUCGUAACAAGGCAUCUGUAGGUGAACCU